GGAGGGUUGCCAGAGCGGCCGAAUGGGCACGCUUGGAAAGCGUGUGAGGCGCAAGUCUCCAUGGGUUCAAAUCCCAUACCCUCCGCCA
RNAcentral lists this transfer RNA (88 nucleotides) under Acidimicrobiales bacterium. RNAcentral describes it as "tRNA-Ser". It matches the Rfam family "tRNA". Rfam says of the family: Transfer RNA (tRNA) molecules are approximately 80 nucleotides in length. RNAcentral also lists the same sequence under 1 other name. Lineage: Bacteria; Bacillati; Actinomycetota; Acidimicrobiia; Acidimicrobiales. The record is from RNAcentral.